GAAGGGAAGAUAUUUGAAGGGAGGGAGAGAGGGGAAAGGAGAGAUGGGGGAGGGGAGAUUACCACACUGGGAAACGCGGAGCCUCUAUUUAAACACCAUCCUAAAAUAAGAUGUAUGAAAUCCAUGAGGUCCUUAUGCCUCUCCAUUUCUAUUUCGGUGUGUUAACUUAAUGCUAAAAGAUCAUCACAAGGUUUAAAAGAAAACAAGCAGAUGCAGAGACCCAUAGCCAAGCAUCGAUCAGAGCUGGGGGUGACUUGUGGAAGAAUGGGGAGGGUAGAAUUGAACGAGCUGGAGGGGGCAAGCAAACCACAAAGAGACCUACAGAGGCAACUCUUCUGGUACCAUGGGGGUUCUCAGGGCCUGGACCCCCUACUAGGGAGCAUGCAGGAGCUGGCUUGGAUCCCCUACAAGUGUGCAGCUUGGUCUUCAUGAGUGUCCCCUAACAAAAUGAGCUGGGCCUGUGUCCAUCUCUCUUCCCUGCCAUUGAAUCCCCUUCUGCCUACCUGGACUCCCUGGUUGGAACUCGGUGGGAAAGGAUACGUUUAGUUCUGCUGGGUCUAGAUGUCCCAAGGUGGGGUGGUAACUAAGGCAGGCUCCCCUUUGGGGGCAAUGGGGAAAGGGAUUUGUAAAGGUGGGACAGGGAGGAAAGGAGGGAGCAGGGCUGUGAUCGCGAUGUAAAAUUUAAAAAAAAAGAAAAGAGGGGUUGGGGAUUUAGCUCAGUGGUAGAGCGCUUGCCUAGCAAGCACAAGGCCCUGGGUUCGGUCCCCAGCUCCGAAAAAAAAAGAAAAGAAAAAAAAAAGAAGAGUCAAAGGAGAGGAUAAAUUAAGAAUCUCAUUGGUAUUGAUGCUUCCUUGAUGGAUUACAAAUGAUAAUUUCAUAAAUAGCUCAAGUUCUAUGUUCAGAUUUUAUUAUUCUAUCAGGUAAACUCUCUGUCAGCUACUCAUUGCCUACCACGCAGGACUGAACAUUUUUGGAAUUCAAGGCAUAUUUGAAUUUCUAGUGUCCUGUUCCCCAAUGGAAAGCAGUAUGAGGCGGCUUGGUGUGGAGAAUCGUGCCCUUGCUUGUUCAGUAAUCAGACUACAUGGACUCUGGAAGUGCCUGAUGGGCAAACUGUUCUCUUACACAACAUCGUUGAUGCUGCACCACUAAAAAGACUUGCAUAUUAAAACGCGAAGCAUGUGAGCUUCUUCAGAGUGAACAGAAAACCAAGAGUCAAUAUAUAUCUUAUCAGAUCCAAAGUAGCAACUUGACCAAGAUGCUGUGAAAUGAACAUGAAUUCUUCACAUGCAGAGUUGAAGGAGAGUUUAUUCCUAUUUCCUAUGGGAUUACCGCUUGGAAAAAAAUCUCUCUGCCAUUUCCCAUCGAAUCCACCUCCACCCUCCCUCUUUUCUUCCCCCCUCUCCUUCCCCUCUGCCCUCUCUUUCUCCCACCUUCCUUCUCUCAUUUCCUCCUCGUUCACACCUUCUCUUUUAAUCAAGUAUUUAUCUGUCUGCUGCAGAAGACAAUGAGGCCUGUAUGCACGAUUAUUGUCUAAUGCAGAGAAGGAAAAUGAA
Rattus norvegicus (Norway rat) is the source of this 1553-nucleotide non-coding RNA. The record is from RefSeq and is a predicted model, not a curated record. NCBI's taxonomy places the organism in Eukaryota, Metazoa, Chordata, Mammalia, Rodentia, Muridae.